Molecule: ribosomal RNA, 467 nt
Filed under: uncultured bacterium
Lineage: Bacteria
Description: partial 16S ribosomal RNA
Rfam family: Bacterial small subunit ribosomal RNA
Source: RNAcentral
GACGAACGCUGGCGGCGUGCUUAACACAUGCAAGUCGAACGGAAAGGCCCUGCUUUUGUGGGGUGCUCGAGUGGCGAACGGGUGAGUAACACGUGAGUAACCUGCCCUUGACUUUUGGAUAACUUCAGGAAACUGGGGCUAAUACCGGAUAUGAGCUCCUGCUGCAUGGUGGGGGUUGGAAAGUUUCGGCGGUUGGGGAUGGACUCGCGGCUUAUCAGCUUAUUGGUGGAGUAGUGGCUUACCAAGGCUUUGACGGGUAGCCGGCCUGAGAGGGUGACCGGCCACAUUGGGACUGAGAUACGGCCCAGAGUACUACGGGAGGCAGCAGUGGGGAAUAUUGCACAAUGGGCGGAAGCCUGAUGAAGCAACGCCGCGUGCGGGAUGACGGCCUUCGGGUUGUAAACCGCUUUCGCAUGUGACGAAGCGUGAGGGACGGUAAUGGGUAAAGAAGCACCGGCUAAAUACGU